Molecule: ribosomal RNA, 468 nt
Filed under: uncultured bacterium
Lineage: Bacteria
Description: partial 16S ribosomal RNA
Rfam family: Bacterial small subunit ribosomal RNA
Source: RNAcentral
GACGAACUCUGGCGGCGUGCUUAACACAUGCAAGUCGAACGGAAAGGCCCUGCUUUUGUGGGGUGCUCGAGCGGCGAACGGGUGAGUAACACGUGAGUAACCUGCCCUUGACUUUGGGAUAACUUCAGGAAACUGGGGCUAAUACCGGAUAGGAGCUCCUGCUGCAUGGUGGGGGUUGGAAAGUUUCGGCGGUUGGGGAUGGACUCGCGGCUUAUCAGCUUGUUGGUGGGGUAGUGGCUUACCAAGGCUUUGACGGGUAGCCGGCCUGAGAGGGUGACCGGCCACAUUGGGACUGAGAUACGGCCCAGACUCCUACGGGAGGCAGCAGUGGGGAAUAUUGCACAAUGGGCGGAAGCCUGAUGCAGCAACGCCGCGUGCGGGAUGACGGCCUUCGGGUUGUAAACCGCUUUCGCCUGUGACGAAGCGUGAGUGACGGUAAUGGGUAAAGAAGCACCGGCUAACUACGUG